Molecule: non-coding RNA, 79 nt
Organism: Vigna angularis (adzuki bean)
Lineage: Eukaryota; Viridiplantae; Streptophyta; Magnoliopsida; Fabales; Fabaceae
Source: Rfam
CAGUUAGGGGAAUGAUGUAUUAUUAUCGAGCCCUUAAGACGCUAGCGUUCCUUGACUCCGCCUCUGAAAUGGACGUGAG